GAAGUCGGCCUGUGGCCCGCUAUGUUCGUGAGGGCGCGUCUCUUGGCACCCCUGUAGUCGCUAUGUUUCCCAUGCCCGUGGCAGGCCUGAGAGGUUAUGUUUGCGGGGGGUGCUUUUUUUGUAGCUUCUGUGUUCGCCAUAUUUGAAAGGGGUAGACGGCCAUGUUCGUCAUGGCCAUGAACGGCUCUUCCCUUGGUGCACCUGUGGCCGCCAUGUUUGAGCGGGGACCCUGUGGCAGGCCGGGACCGUUUCUCCGGCGCUAUCCCAGAGCAUGGCGCAUCCACUGAUUCACUCAACGGAAAGGCCUGAAAGUAAAAUUGUAUCAACAUUAGGUUUGCCUAGCAAGCCUAAUGUUAAUGAAGCCAGGAGGUUCUCGUUUUGGGCCUUGACUGGACAGGUUUGGGCUAGAAACCACUUGAAGUAUUGAUCAUCCAUCUGAUCAUCAAGUUUUUUUUUUUUGAGAGAUGGAGUCUCACUCUAUUGCCCACGCUGGAGUGCAGUGGCACGAUCUCAGCUCCCUGCAACCUCCACCUCCCGGGUUCUCCUGCCUCAGCCUUCUAAGUAGCUGGGAUUAUAAGCAUGUGCCACCAUGCCUGGCUAAUUUUUCAUAUUUUUGGUUGAGAUGGGGUUUCACCAUGUGGCCAGGCUGGUCUCAAACUCCUGACCUCAAGUGAUCCGCCUGCCUUGGCCUCCCAAAGUGCUGGGAUUACAGGCAUGAGCCACCACUCCCAGCUUGUUCAUCAAGUUUUUAUUGAAUAUCUAUUAUGUGCCGAUAUUGAGGUAGACUCUGGGAGUCACAGCAGUGAAAGCGGCUGCCCGAAUGCCUUGUGAGGGCCGGGGUCUCACUGGGGAGAUGGACAUGAACAGCAAACGCACAGCAAGGAAAGCCAGGGGUCUGUGCAGGGAUGCCGCAGGACGCGAGAACCAGCCAAGACCUAUGGCCCCUGCAGCCACCGAGGGCUCGAGAGCGCCCCCGUGGACUUGGCUGGGCCCUUCUUGGUGACAUCCAGGAAUGCGGCUGAGCGUGGGUGUUGACCUCGCUGUUUGCUGGAAUGUUUGGGUUCUUGGACCACGUCAGUGACGGCUGUGUCACCAUGGCCUCGCUGUCCCCAGGAAAACCUAACGUGCACCUCGCGCUUGUCCUCUGGGACUCCCGUCCUCCUCCUUUGUCUGACCCCCGAGAGGCUUACCGUUUCCCCAGGGCAGCCCUGGCUGUGGCCCUUGGCCCUGCUCCAGGCGGCCACGUCAGUGUCCUCCCUCAGCGCUCCCAACAGGUGGGAGGCCUCUGCGAUGGCCACCCUUGACUCCUAAACACCCCAGAAAGGGAAGAGGUUUAAGAGGAACCUUGACUCCCGCCAUUCUGCACAGUCGUGGGUCCCUCCUCCACCCAGGGCCCUCAACGGGAUUUCUGUCCACACCCCCAGCCAGCGACCCCUCCCAGUUCCUGCAGCUGGAGCGACCCUCUCUCCUGAACAUUCGGGCACCUGCGUCUCUCACCGCAGCCAGAGGGCUGGAGCAUCUUCGGUCAACUCGCCAUCCCUGCCACAGCUGGAGGCUACGUGUCCCAGAACCUACCUUGCUGGGAUGGGGGUUGGGGUGGCAGAUGCUGAACGCAUGUGAGGUCUGGGGGAGGACAAGUGGAGCUGGGAUGUGUGGGAGGUCCUGGUGGCCACCGUGAGGAUGGUCAUACCCCAUAGCUUUGUUGGUGCUGUGGCUGUAGCAGGCCCAGUGGCUCCGCCGAGCCUCCCUAGCACCAGUGCCCAGUGAAGUGUGGGCAGCUGGACAUAGGUGGCCUCAGUUCCUGGGACUCCCCCAAAGCUCUGGUUUCCCCCCUGCUUCCAGGCUUCAGGUGGAUGAGUUAGUGACCCCAACUCCAGACCUCCCUCCCCCAGCCACCCCCACAGUUGUAAAAACCCUCAUUCUCAUAUGGAA
Molecule: long non-coding RNA, 1932 nt
Filed under: Pongo abelii (Sumatran orangutan)
Lineage: Eukaryota; Metazoa; Chordata; Mammalia; Primates; Hominidae
Description: lincRNA
Source: RNAcentral